GACGAACGCUGGCGGCGUGCUUAACACAUGCAAGUCGAACGGAAAGGCCCUGCUCUUGUGGGGUGCUUGAGUGGCGAACGGGUGGGUAACACGCGAGUAACCUCCCCUUGUCUUUGGGAUAACUUCAGGAAACUGGGGCUAAUACAGGAUAGGAUCUCUUGCUCCAUGGUGGGGGUUGGAAAGUUUCGGCGUUUGGGGAUGGACUCGCGGCUUAUCAGCUUGUUGGUGGGGUAGUGGCUUACCAAGUGUUGGACGGGUAGCCGGCCUGAGAGGGUGACCGGGCACAUGAGGACUAAGAGACGGCCCAGACUCCUACGGGAGGCAGCAGUGGAGAAUAUUGCACAGUGGGCGGAAGCCAGAUACAGCAACGCCGCGUGCGGGAUGACGGCUUUCGAGUGGUAAACCGAUGUCGCCUGUGACGAAGCGUGAGUGACGGUAAUGGGUAAAGAAGCACCGGCUAACUACGUG
RNAcentral lists this ribosomal RNA (468 nucleotides) under uncultured bacterium. RNAcentral describes it as "partial 16S ribosomal RNA". It matches the Rfam family "Bacterial small subunit ribosomal RNA", at positions 28 to 507 of the family's 1533-position model. The record is from RNAcentral.